This 84-nucleotide transfer RNA is filed under the name Chloroflexota bacterium. Its description in RNAcentral is "tRNA-Leu". It matches the Rfam family "tRNA". From Rfam's summary of the family: Transfer RNA (tRNA) molecules are approximately 80 nucleotides in length. Their secondary structure includes four short double-helical elements and three loops (D, anti-codon, and T loops). Lineage: Bacteria; Bacillati; Chloroflexota. The record is from RNAcentral.
GGGCUGAUGGCGGAAUAGGCAGACGCAUUAGACUUAAAAUCUAACGAUGGUAACAUCGUGUGGGUUCGACUCCCACUCAGCCCA